CCUACGGGUGGCAGCAGUGAGGAAUAUUGGUCAAUGGACGAGAGUCUGAACCAGCCAAGUAGCGUGAAGGAUGACUGCCCUAUGGGUUGUAAACUUCUUUUAUAUGGGAGUAAAAUGUUCCACGUGUGGGCUUUUGUAUGUACCAUAUGAAUAAGGAUCGGCUAACUCCGUGCCAGCAGCCGCGGUAAUACGGAGGAUCCGAGCGUUAUCCGGAUUUAUUGGGUUUAAAGGGUGCGUAGGUGGAUUGUUAAGUCAGUGGUGAAAGUUUGCGGCUCAACCGUGAAAUUGCAGUUAAUACUGGUAGACUUGAGAACAGUAGCGGUGGGCGGAAUGCGUGGUGUAGCGGUGAAAUGCUUAGAGAUCACGAAGAACUCCGAUUGCGAAGGCAGCAUACCGGAGUUUAACUGACGCUCAUGCACGAAAGCGUGGGUAUCGAACAGGAUUAGAUACCCGAGUAGUC
This 460-nucleotide ribosomal RNA is filed under the name uncultured bacterium. Its description in RNAcentral is "partial 16S ribosomal RNA". It matches the Rfam family "Bacterial small subunit ribosomal RNA", at positions 338 to 795 of the family's 1533-position model. The record is from RNAcentral.